AGGUAAGCAUUACACGAGCUUUUCAUUCAAGCAACACAACUCAUCAUAGAAUCACCAUAACAUAAAUACCAACAUACAUCAAAUGACACAAAUGAAUUAAAAUGAAGUGGAAAAACAUGUGCCCCCUCCAAAGCAUAUCAUCCCACAUACAUCAUCUUCAUCAUAAUACAUCAAUUUACAUACAAAUCAAGUUUAAAAUGAAAAUAAAAAAGAGAAAUAAGGUAGAGUCAAGGAAAAUCAUGUGCACUCAGUAUGCCCACAUACAUCAUCUCAUCACUAUCAUUAAAGAAUCCAUCAAAAACACACGAGGAUUCCUCACUAAACUCACAUAAUUCAUCACACUCAUUCAUUCACGUUUUCACUCAACUCUCCAUAAUUUCCUCAUACUCACACGAAUCACCAAAGAUUCCCCAAAAAAAUCAUCAUAACAAACUUCAUUUCCCUCCUAAAAAACUCACAAGUUUCAUCCCUCAAUUCACUCUAUCACACCUAUAAGUAGAGCAUAAACAUCACUCUUAAAACACAAGAAAAUACCCUAGCAGAGCCAUGCUAAAAACGUACUUGGCCCUCACCAAAGCUAUUCAACCUAAAGCCUCUAAAGUUCAACAUCUGAACUUGAGUAAGGCUUGAGCUCUAAACCCUUCACCAUAUCACAAAGUAACCUUGCACAAAGCAGAAGAAAGAGGAGAGGAAGGAAGUAUCAUAAACAAACAGAAACAGAAAGAAGGAACUGAUAGAGUUUACCCGAGGUUGGUCGCCGAAGUCUCACCGAAGUUUAAACCAUUGGCGAGGUCUUCUUAUUCACUUUCCUUUUGUUUUUCCUGCAUAUUAACGUUGUUUUAUCUAUUGCUGUAUGUUAUGUGUAAUUUGGACAUACAGAAUUAAGGGGUUAAGUUAAAUUUAGGGAUGAGCCCUAUCUGGGCUCAUAGUUGCUUAUUUGGUUAUUUUGACGAUGGAUUCUUGAUCAAGGACUAUUUUUAGGCUAGGGUUUUAUUUUUCAUUUUGGAUUUGGACAAUUUUCGUGAAAUCUGAGUUUCAAGUAUGAACAUCUUCAUGAUGUUCAUGCUUGUUCUAAGACAACCACUAUGGUUGAUCUUGGUUUGGUGGAAAGAGAAGCAAGAAAUGUGUUAGUGUGGUGGGGCAGGUUAGAGGUAGAGAGAGAGAGUAGGUCAGAGUAGAGAGAGAAGGAAGUUGAAAAAUGAAUCCCACGUGAGGUCUCCCUCACUUUUACCUCUCUCACAUCUGAACCCUUUCCAACACAUGGUGGCUUUGGAACCAUGAGAUUCGUUGACCGCUCAUCAUUGAAAAGGGUUUCUGUAGUAGACCUUCAUCAUAGCCUUCACGCGCAUGCGUUUCCUUGACCUUCAUAUUUAUGUGGCUUUCAUCCAAGGGACAAGGUUGAGUUAACGUUAUUGACUCCUCUGAUCCUUUGACUUGGACGAGCGCCCUGCUUUGGGCUUUCACGUUCGGCCACUGCUAGGCGCACCCCUUCCUGGUCCAUUUUUGCUUGCAAUCUUUUUUUAUUAUUUUAUUUUAUAAUUUUGGAUCUUGGGCCUUUGGCAUAUUUGUGCUUAUCUAUGUUUACUAGCAGCAUACCCCAUACCAUUUUUAUGCACCCCCAUUUCUAUUAUUAUUUUCAUGUCAUUUUUAUUUAUUUAUUGUUCUUUUAUUUUAUUUAAUAAUAAACAUUACUUCAAUAAUAAUAAAAUCAAUUACAUUUGUAACAAAAAUCUUGAUCCAACGUCAAGAAUUUUUUUAAAAAUCAAAUUCAACGCAUUCUCAAAUACGACUCAAAGCGUUUAAUCGAUAUCAAACUUCUUUUCAAACUCAAACCCUUAGUCAAAUCUUUUUCUCAAGUAAACCCAAUGAAAAGGGUUAAUUGAGUGUAUACAUGUUUUCUCCUCAAGUAUUAGGUCACUGGAUGUAGAGCUCACUGUUUGAAGACUCGUCAUCCGCAUUAAAAGAUAAUAAUUAACCGAAUUUGGUUUGAUCUUUUAUAGAAGAAAAAUGAUUAAUUGGGUGUAGAUCUCUUUCUUCCCCGAGUAUUUAGACACUGGCUGUAGAGCUCGCUGUGCAAAUACUCAUCUUUCGUUAAAGAACCAUUACUCAAUUUGAUUCACAUAUUUUAAAAUAAAUUUGGACGAAAAAGGAUUAAAUGGGUUUAGACCUUUUUUCUCCUCGAUUAUUCGUACACUGGAUGUAGAGCUCGUUGUGUAAAUACUCUUCAUCCACUAAAAAAUAUUAAACAAAUCAAACUUAUCUUUUCUCGAUCCCGCACGAUCAAAAUUAUUUUCUUAAAAGAACAUUGUUUAGUCUGUUAUACCGCGAUAUAAAUAAACACUUAAGCCUUCAAUUACGAGCAUACAAGCCAUGUUUAACCGCUAGAACGCGAUAUACAUAUUUGUUUAAUAAAAUCAAUCAACCAAUACAUAGUUUUGUAUUAAGAACCGCGUAACUUUCAAUUCCUCAUCGCACCUGAGGAUACGUAGGAGUAAGACCUGCAAUCUUGUCAAGCACCCUAAUAAAAACCUUUUUGCGACCCUUUUAUUUUCCGUUUGAACUUUUAAUCACUCGAAGAAAAAAAAUAACGAAAGCUAACAUUUAAAUCACAAAUCUAACUAAAUAGUUCCCGUUGAGUACAACAAAUGUGAGGGGUGCUAAUACCUUCCCCUCGCAUAGUCGACUCCCAAACCCGAUUUUUGUUGCGAGAACCAUUUUCUUUUUUCUAUAAGGAAUUUAUCUAUAUUUCCCUUUCCUUUUGGAAUAAAUAAAGUUCAAUGGUGACUAUGUUAUCAUCUCGAGCGUGCGAGUGCUCCAAGUUAUUUUUUUUGUGCCGCGACAGUUGACGUCUCUAUUGGGGACACACUUCAGCUAGAGAGUCAAGCCUAAUUUGGUUAACUAUGCAAUAAAUGUUGGCAUUAUUUGUUUUCUUCCAUUUGUUUUAUCAUUUCUUAUGUGUUUCUCUUGCUACAUGUUUACCUAUUAUAGGUUACCAUGGUUAUUGGCAAUGUGUGAGAUAGGCUCUAUACCCGAGUCUGAGAAAACACCUAAGUAUAAGAUGGUGGUUGUGUAGUGUUUGACCUUUAAGGCGUAGGUCUGGUUUGAUCGGCAUAAAGACCUCACCUAGAGUAGAUCUUAUUGAGAGUGUUGUUGUUUAACGAGUAGUCAUUAUGGCGAUGAUAUUUUCAAUUAGGAUCUCUAACUCUAGGGACCUUUUUAGAACCUUAGAGUCGAUGGUUGUGUAGCAUUGAACGGAAAGACACAUGUCUCGUUAGGCCGAUACGAUGACCUCACAUAGAGUAGAUUCUCUUGGAGAUAUGGUUGUCUAACAAUUAGUCAUUAUGGUGAUAAUAUUUCCGAGAAGGAUCCAUGAAUUUGGGAACCUACAACCAUAGAGCAUACCUUUGGGAUUCCAUUAAUCAAAGAUACUUGUAUUUUCUCCAAUUGUUACCCUGAUUGACUUGAACAUGAUAUGCCUAUGAUCCCGAGUCAUGCAUAUGCAUCACAUUUUCAUAAAAAAAUACUUAGCAUUUGCAUUUUAUUUUCAAGGAACCUAAGAGACUACAGUUGUUGCAGGCAUUCGAGAGUAUAUGGUCAGAUAGGAAAAACACAUACUCCUUAAAAUUCAAGUCUCCUAAGCUAUAAGGUUUGAAAUAACUAAGCUCCUGGCUAACCACUAUCAACAAAAAUGAUUUCAAGAAGGAUUAUGGGAAUCUCCUUGCUAUGCUAAAUGAAGAAGUUGAUCCACUGACUUUAUUGACUCUCUCUUAGUUCUAUGAUCCUCCACUGAGAUGCUUCAUUCCAGAACUUCCAGUUAGCUCCAAUAUUGGAAGAAGUUGAUCAUAUUAUGGGCGUCUCUAUGAAGGAUAAAAAUCCUUUAAAUGGUUUGGGAGAACUUGUAAAACCUGAAAUAAUAGUUAUGUCCCUGCACAUGGAUAAGAAAGAUGUGUAAGAACAAGGUUUAAUUUUGCAUCUAGCCUUAUGUUUUGAUGAUAACAAUACAUAGAAUCUUAGAGAAUAAUUUUCUACCAUAAUGAUUUUGUUUAGUGUGUAGAUACUAGAUACAAGUUCUGACUCUGAUUGAAUGACGUACGACGUCAUUAAAUUCUAAACCUAGUUCACUUUGACUCUGAGAUGUGUGUUUUAUAAGAUAAUCAAGCUCUAGAUUAUGUGAUAAUCACUUUUGAAUAUAGUAUAUCCAAAGCUUUAUGACUCUGAAGCUUCUGACGCUGUCAAGCUCCGAAGUAUUACGCUCAAACAACUCUGAUGAAGAGUGUCACCAGAUUCUGAAGACCAUGUUCUGAUGAACUAGAUCAAGACUCUGAAGAUCGUGUUUCUGAAGAUUCUCUCAACCAGACUCUUACUCUUAUUUUAUGCAUACUUCAUCACCUCUCUAUCAUAAGCCCCUGAAUAUUAAAGAUAAGAUCAAAAAGGUUUUACAUGAGAAAAUAAUAAAUAGUAUAAGAUCAAAUAUUCCUUAUACUACACUGAUUUUGUGGGCUAAGGACUGUACUAUUGUACCAUUUUGUCUCCCAUUUUCACAGACCGUUAUGCAAGGAUACAACUGCAUUUUAGUAUUCUAAUUCUACCCUCUAACAGAUCUCUUCAUUUCAAAUAUAAAGAAGGCUUGUAAGAAUGGAACACUGUUACACUCUAAGAGAUUAUCAUAUAUGUGAAUAGUGCAUUUUGUGAAAUAUAUGAGAGAAAAGAAACAUACACACAAGGAAAUUUUGUUCAUAUUCUUCAUAGAAUAUAUUUUGUGUGAUAUGAUAUUCAGACUCUAACUGGUGUGGUGACAAAAUGGACAUAAGGAGUACUAUAAGGUACUUGUUCAUGUAUAUAUAAACUCCCAUUUCUCAGUGCUCCAAGAAGCAACUAGGGGUUGCAUUUUCAACCUUGAAGUUGAAUACAUAGUUGGUGUUUUGUCAGCUUGUUAGGUUGUUUGGCUGAUGAAUUUGCUGCAGGAACUGAAGUUCAAGGUUAGCAAACCAGUCAAACUGAUGAUUAAUAACAAAUUUUUCAUAACUCUUUCUAAGAAGCCAAUGAUGCACGGAAGAAGCAAGCACAUUGAUACUAAGUACCAUUUUCCGUGCAAUCAAGUUCAGAAUAGAGUACUUGAAUUUGUUCAUGUCAACACUGAUAAGCAAUUGGCAUAUGUGCUUACCAAGGCGAUCAAAACUGAGCACUUCAUCAAUUUGAGGGAUGUAAUUGGUGUUGUUGACUUUUAAUCUUGAAUACGAAUUAAUGGAUUAUGUUGAAUGUAAUUCAACAUUCAAGAUUGGUUUAAUUUUUAGUUUCAUUUGCAUUUACGUUUGUAUUUGUAUUUGAAUUUCAUUUACAUUUGAAUUUAGGUUAUUGUAUAAAACUCAAAGUUAGUUGGAGAUUGUAACAAAAUUUUAAAUUUAAGACUUGGAGAUUGAAACUCUCUCUCUCUCUCUCUCUCUUACUCUCUCUCUCUCUCUCUCUCUCUCUCUCUCUUACUCUCUCUCUCUGAGAGAGAGAGAGAGAGAGAGAGGAGAGGGAGAGAGAGAGAGAGAGAGAGAGAGAGAGAGUGAGAGAGAGAGAGGAGAGAGAGAGAGAGAGAGGAGAGAGAAGAAAGAGUGUACCUUAGGAGAGUGUGAUGAGAAAGGUUCUGGAAGAAAAUAAAUUGUGAUUAUGUUUGUGCGAAGGGGAAUUUAAAGGCCUUUGUCCAUCGCUGAUUUCGGAACUUUGUAGUAGUAUCGCUUUUUAUUUAAACCACGGGUUGUAAUUAAUUAAUUAGAUAAUGCAUUUCAAAACCGGAAAUACAAGGAACGGUAGUGAACUCAAUUCCUUUUCUUUUGCAAUCAAUGUUUGUUUCCUCCGCCCUUAUUUAUAAUCCUUCUCACAUUUUAAAUACAUUAAGCUAACUAUCAGUCUAAUUCAUUUUACACUUGUUAAUAAUUUUUAAUUUAGAGUAUAUUUUCUAAUAAGUUAAGUGCUAAGAUGUAAAACUAUAUAUAUAGAGAGAUAGAGAGAGAUUGAUUGAUUGAUAGAGAGAGAGAAAGAUCAACUUACUAAGAGUACUUUUUUAACUUACUCCAAAUCAUAGAUUUUAAAUUAAAUUUAAUUGAAUGAUUAAUUAAGUAAAAUAUUAAUUUAAUCNNNNNNNNNNNNNNNNNNNNNNNNNNNNNNNNNNNNNNNNNNNNNNNNNNNNNNNNNNNNNNNNNNNNNNNNNNNNNNNNNNNNNNNNNNNNNNNNNNNNNNNNNNNNNNNNNNNNNNNNNNNNNNNNNNNNNNNNNNNNNNNNNNNNNNNNNNNNNNNNNNNNNNNNNNNNNNNNNNNNNNNNNNNNNNNNNNNNNNNNNNNNNNNNNNNNNNNNNNCUCUCUCUCUCUCUCUCUCUCUCUCUCUCUCUCUCUCUCUCUCUCAUUUUUAUACAUCAAAGAAAGUUCAUUGUUGAAUUCCAACCAUACAAGUGUGUAUCUAUCCUUGUUUCAAAUGAUUAUGCCGACCAAAAGUAUACUACAAAUCUUGCGAAAGAUAAAGAAUGUAUUCUUUUCUCAUGUUAUAUUGCAAGAAUAUAUAUUCUUUUCAAGUUUUUCGGUUACAUGAUAUUCUGUUUUCUUUAAAAAGCUCUAAAUUCGUUUACUUUCUGAGUCAUCAUAUUAUAUUCGUUAAUCACAAUAUAUAGAAUAAUAAAACAAAACAUUUGACACUACACAUACACAUUUCUACAAAGAAUCUAAUUCAAGUAUUUUCUCUACUAAGAAUACCACUAUAUAAAUGAUGAAAUUUUCCACUAACUCAAGUGCCUCUUAACACUUCUAACUCAAUAGUUUCUUUAAAAAAAAAGUUUAAAAUAUGUUCAAAACAUUACUUUUAGGAUUAUUUUUCUUGAUCUCCGUUCUCACUUUUUCAGCUCAUGAGAUCACAGCCACAUCACAAAUUGAAGGUUUAAGUACUUCAAAGCAACAAAGGACUCAAAGAACAACUGUGGGAUAUUUGCAUGUUGUUCAACAUGGAAAGGUGUCAAAGAAAUCAAAGACAGUUUAUGGGGGAGCCAAUAAUGUGAAGAGUCAUAAGGGAAAAAGUAGUGCAAACACUAAUUUGAUCAAAUCUUCAUCCUUGUUUAUGGUUGUAUUAAGUCAUCUAAUUCCAGCAAUGAUUCUGGUUGGUGGUUUCUUUUGAAUUUCAAUAUGUUUCAAGAUAGAGGCUUGCAUGAUUUGUCAAGAGUGUGCUUUUGAUUUGUCUCAUACAAAGACACAUAUAUAAUCAAAUAAGUUUUCUUUAUUGAAAUGGUCUUAUUAAUUUAGUGUUACAAAUAUGUGUUUGGUUCUACAAUUAAAAAUAAUAAUUUUGAGUAAAUUGAUUUUCAUUAAAAAUGACUUAAAUAUAAAAUGAUUUGUAUUUGAAUAAAUAUUUGUAAAAUUGAGUUGAAUAAUCAAUUUUAAAUUUAAAAAUCACGUUUAAAUUAUAAUACUAUAAAUUAUAAUUUUAAAUAGAAUCAAUUCUAAAAACCAUAAUCAAUUUUACUCGAGAACAAUUAAACAUAAUUAGUUAUACAUGUUCACAAUCAAUUUUGCAUGCUCAGACAUGAAAUCAAAUAUACAUUGAUUUUGUUUUAUAUUUUAUUAUUGUUUUAAAGUUACUUAAUUUAAGGAAAUUUAAAAAAAAAUGUUAUUUUUAAUAGAAUUAUUUAUCAUAUUCUAUAAUAUUUUUAUUUUUUAUUCUAUUUAUUUAUGAAAGAUCUCGUUAUUUGGUUUGGUGUUGAUCAGUGGUCAAUAUUUCACAAGCUUUUAUAUAAACAAAAGUGUUUAAGUAGUCACAAAACAGACUCUACAUUAGAUAUUUGAUCUAGCCUGUUUGUUACGUUGAUUUUUAAUUUGAAUUAAUUGGAUAUACAAUACAAUUUGUGAAUUAGAUUGAUUUCUAAUUUAACUUUAUAAUAUAUUCGGUUAAAUAUGUCAGUAUUUUGACUUUUAAUACAAUUUCAUUAGGUACUUGGUUCAAUCAGUCACUCACAUCUUCUUAGAACAAAUCUGAGAAAUUUAUGUGGCUUGUUCAGCGAACGGGGUCAGGCGUGCACUCCUUUCCCCCAAUACCGUGCUUCCUUCUGGGAAGUCAGGUGGUAGAUCGUGAUCAGGUCCAUCUAAAAUGCUUCUCACAAAUGCUUUCUUUGGGUUGAGGAGUUCUUCAAGAUGUCCAUUGUGUUUCUUCAGACGAUUAUUCUCUUGUUCGAGUAGGUUGGUGUCUUCCAGGUUCUUGCAUGAUUGCUCUUUUAGCUCACGGAUCUCCUGAAGUCUCUGGUCUAGCUCAUACUGAUUCUAGCGAAGAGUGACCUCUAACUGCUUAGUGCGGCUUUGCUCAUCCUUCAACCCUUUCUUGCAAGCUUCCAGCUGGUCUCGGAGUUUCUUGGUCUGUUCUUUGUAAUUAAGCUCUACUUUACAAGCCUGGUAUUGAGUCUCGUCUAAUUGUUUCUUCUUCACUGUCAAACUAGCAUAAGUUUCCUUGAGUGUAUCACCCACUUUUAUUCUUUUGAGUACCUCAGUUUGCACUUCGUCAUCUGCUCGACGCACUCUGUCUCUCUUCUGGUUCAGGUUGAAUUUCAAAGUUU
This 8572-nucleotide long non-coding RNA is filed under the name Lathyrus oleraceus (garden pea). RNAcentral describes it as "Pisum sativum (pea) long non-coding RNA (PSAT_LNC019986)". The record is from RNAcentral. Lineage: Eukaryota; Viridiplantae; Streptophyta; Magnoliopsida; Fabales; Fabaceae.